This 185-nucleotide small nuclear RNA is filed under the name Sorex araneus (European shrew). RNAcentral describes it as "U1 spliceosomal RNA (ENSSARG00000014682.1)". The stretch from base 1 to 146 matches the Rfam family "U1 spliceosomal RNA". Rfam says of the family: U1 is a small nuclear RNA (snRNA) component of the spliceosome (involved in pre-mRNA splicing). The record is from RNAcentral. Lineage: Eukaryota; Metazoa; Chordata; Mammalia; Eulipotyphla; Soricidae.
AUACUUACCUGGCAAGGGAGACACCAUGAUCACGAAAGUGGUUUUCCCAGGGCGAGGCUUAUCCAUUGCACUCCAGAUGUGCUGACCCCUGGGAUUUCCCCAAAUGUGGGAAACUCGACCGCAUAAUUGGUGGUAGUGGGGGACUGUGUUUAAUAAAAAAAAAAAAGAAGAAAUUCAAAUUCCAA